CCUACGGGAGGCAGCAGUGAGGAAUAUUCGUCAAUGGACGCAAGUCUGAACCAGCCAUGCCGCGUGCAUGAUGACGGCUCUAUGAUUUUUAAACUGCUUUUGUACGAGAGUACACCCCGAUACGUGUAUCAGGUUGACAUUAUCGUACGAAUACGGAUCGGCUAACUCCGUUCCAGCAGCCGAGGUGAUACGGAGGAUCCGAGCGUUAUCCGGAUUUAUUGGGUUUAACGGGUGCGGAGGCGGUUUGAUAACUUAGAGGUGAAAUGUCGGGGCUCAACCCCGAAACUGCCUCUAAUACUGUUGGACUAGAGAAUAGUUGCGGUAGGCGGAAUGUAUGGUGUAGCGGUGAAAUGCUUAGAGAUCAUACAGAACACCGAUUGCGAAGGCAGCUCCCCAAACUAUAUCUGACGUUGAGGCACGAAAGCGUGGGUAGCAAACAGGAUUAGAUACCCUGGUAGUC
RNAcentral lists this ribosomal RNA (460 nucleotides) under uncultured bacterium. RNAcentral describes it as "partial 16S ribosomal RNA". It matches the Rfam family "Bacterial small subunit ribosomal RNA", at positions 338 to 795 of the family's 1533-position model. The record is from RNAcentral.